Molecule: ribosomal RNA, 433 nt
Filed under: Diploeciton sp. JP-2017
Lineage: Eukaryota; Metazoa; Arthropoda; Insecta; Coleoptera; Staphylinidae
Description: partial 16S ribosomal RNA
Source: RNAcentral
GUCUUUUUGAUUAUAAUUUAAAGUCUAACCUGCCCACUGAAUAUUUAAAUGGCCGCAGUAUUUUGACUGUGCAAAGGUAGCAUAAUCAUUAGUUUUUUAAUUAAAAACUGGAAUGAAAGGUUGAACGAGAAAAUAUCUGUCUCUUUAUAAAUUAUUUAGAAUUUUAUUUUUAAGUUAAAAAGCUUAAAUAAAAUUAAAAGACGAGAAGACCCUAUAGAAUUUUAUAUAAUUUAUUUGUAUUAUUAAAAUUAGAAUUUAUUAUUUAUAUAAAUAUAAUAUAUUUGAUUGGGGUGAUUGAAAAAUUUAUUAAACUUUUUUUUUAUGAAAACAUUUAUUUAUGGUUGAUUGAUCCAUUUAUUAUGAUUAAAAGAUUAAAUUACCUUAGGGAUAACAGCGUUAUUUCUUUUAAGAGUUCAAAUCGAUAAAGAAGUUU